AACAUUAUUGAAUCAUGGAAAGAGGUAUUAAAAUACUAACAAAAUACUUAUCCAACUAUUUAUUACAAUAUUGUUUUAACUCUAUUGUUUUAUUUUAUUUGUAGAUCUUUAAUGAUUCAUCUCCCAUGGAAGUUGCAGUCAUUGACGACAUUAGAAGGAACUGGGCAUCUUUUAUUUUAAGUAUUAGUAGAAACUUGGCUACAAUUCAAUAGUAUAUGUACAUUUGGAUUUAAUAUAUACUUUUAUGCACAAACGAUGUAUUAAAUAUUAUUAGACUAUUUAAAGUUUGAAAUGAAUUCUAUUUUGUUUCAUUAAA
Molecule: long non-coding RNA, 316 nt
Filed under: Vigna radiata
Lineage: Eukaryota; Viridiplantae; Streptophyta; Magnoliopsida; Fabales; Fabaceae
Description: long non-coding RNA (VRAD_LNC008177)
Source: RNAcentral